GACGAAUGAUGGAGGCGGGCUGAACACAUGCAAGUCGAACGGAAAGGCCCUGCUUUUGUGGGGUGCUCGAGUGGCGAACGGGUGAGUAACACGUGAGUAACCUGCCCUUGACUUUGGGAUAACUUCAGGAAACUGGGGCUAAUACCGGAUAGGAGCUCCUGCUGCAUGGUGGGGGUUGGAAAGUUUCGGCGGUUGGGGAUGGACUCGCGGCUUAUCAGCUUGUUGGUGGGGUAGUGGCUUACCAAGGCUUUGACGGGUAGCCGGCCUGAGAGGGUGACCGGCCACAUUGGGACUGAGAUACGGCCCAGACUCCUACGGGAGGCAGCAGUGGGGAAUAUUGCACAAUGGGCGGAAGCCUGAUGCAGCAACGCCGCGUGCGGGAUGACGGCCUUCGGGUUGUAAACCGCUUUCGCCUGUGACGAAGCGUGAGUGACGGUAAUGGGUAAAGAAGCACCGGCUAACUACGUG
This 468-nucleotide ribosomal RNA is filed under the name uncultured bacterium. RNAcentral describes it as "partial 16S ribosomal RNA". It matches the Rfam family "Bacterial small subunit ribosomal RNA", at positions 28 to 507 of the family's 1533-position model. The record is from RNAcentral.